RNAcentral lists this long non-coding RNA (423 nucleotides) under Manihot esculenta (cassava). RNAcentral describes it as "long non-coding RNA (MESC_LNC003589)". The record is from RNAcentral. Lineage: Eukaryota; Viridiplantae; Streptophyta; Magnoliopsida; Malpighiales; Euphorbiaceae.
AACCUUUUAUAUGAGGUCGGAACUUUUGUUUUUGCGUGUGGUCGCUGUGUACCUCUGUUUGCUAUGAGCAUGUGUUACCGGAAUAUCUCUGGGGACCCCGGUUUUUGUUGCUCCGGGAGAUCUUUUUGAGAUCCUCGCUGGCCGUUUUUGCUCCAGGAGAUCUUACGAGAUCCUGAUUGUUUUUUGCUCUGGGAGGUCUUUUUGAGAUCCUCAUCGGCCGUUUUUGCUCCAGGAGGUCUUUUUGAGAUCCUCGCCGGCCGUUUUUGCUCCAGGAGAUCUUACGAGAUCCUGGCCGUUUUUGCUCCGGGAGGUCUUUUUGAGAUCCUCGUCGGCCGUUUUUGCUCCAGGAGAUCUUACGAGAUUCUGGCCGUUUUUGCUCCCGGAGGUCUUUUUGAGAUCCUCGCCGGCCGUUUUUGCUCCAAG